This 136-nucleotide small nuclear RNA is filed under the name Neogale vison (American mink). RNAcentral's name for it is "Neovison vison (American mink) U4 spliceosomal RNA (ENSNVIG00000016180.1)". It matches the Rfam family "U4 spliceosomal RNA". From Rfam's summary of the family: U4 small nuclear RNA (U4 snRNA) is a component of the major U2-dependent spliceosome. The structure of U4 snRNA from yeast and human has been reported. Lineage: Eukaryota; Metazoa; Chordata; Mammalia; Carnivora; Mustelidae. The record is from Rfam by way of RNAcentral.
AGCUUUGCGCACUGGCAGUAUCGUAGCCAAUGAGGUUUAUCCGAGGCGCGAUUAUUGCUAAUUGAGAAAUCUCCAAACUCUAUUUUAAGUAUGAUGAUUAGUCUUGUAUGUAACCGGGACUUUGGAAAUUUUAAAG